Long non-coding RNA from Triticum dicoccoides, 2089 nucleotides. RefSeq lists it as uncharacterized. The record is from RefSeq and is a predicted model, not a curated record. The transcript has 2 exons. NCBI's taxonomy places the organism in Eukaryota, Viridiplantae, Streptophyta, Magnoliopsida, Poales, Poaceae.
AUUCAACCGCCGGUCAGCUUGUCCUGCGUGGUGCUCGUAUGAUGCCUGGUGCUCCCAGUGUUGGAAGGAUGACGGGUAAAUCGAGGUAUGCCUGCAGUCAGGGCAGGCUUUCCAAGAGCUGGUUCCCCAGGAUUGCUGAGGAUGGAAUCGGCAGUGCACAUGCUACUCAAAAGUGUGCAAAGAGUGCCAAAUGCUGUAAAUGUCCAUUCUGGAGCCAUGUCUCCCGCUGGAAAUUCUAUGAUGAGGCCACGCGAUCCUAUGCAGAUGUUUCGUCAGCAUAUGGUGAAGCCGGAGCUCCACUUGCAGGUUUCACAGGGAAAUAGUCAAGCUGCCUAUUUCAGCAGCAUGAAUCCAUCAUUCUCCAAGGCUGCAGCUCCUUCACCUCUUCAGCAAACCCGAAGGAACCAGCCAUCCAAGCACACAGCAGCAGCCAUAUGCUACAAUGCCUAUGCACCUGGCUAAGGAGAGACAAUUUCAACACCGUUUGGUGUCUCAAGAUAACAACAAUCUUCCUGUAACAGGUGUGGUACCCGGUGUGCAGAACGGAUCGCACAUUCAGCAGCAGAAUCAAGCAUCUCCGGUCACUUCAACUCCUUCUUCGGCUUCACUGCAUCAGAAGCAGCAGUCUGCGCAAAGUCCACCAGAUAGCUGUGCACUUGCCAAUCAAUCUGCCAAUGCUACAGAACCUAAGCAGAAGAAACGGCAGGGUCAACAGCAGCGUAGACAAAACAAACAACAGAGGAAUCAAGCUAUUCAACAGAGCUAGGCUUAUCAAGAGUUUAGGACCAGGAAUCAAGCUAGGCUUAUGAAGAGCUAGGUUGAUACCUCAGGCUCCUGCAGCCGGCGCCUCUCCAACCAGUGCUGUUCCUACGGCUUCCAAGAAACAAUUUCCUGACAAAAAAUUCGACGCAACAUGGCCAUGGUAAUAAAGCGUCGAUUUCAGCAACGCCUCAGCCUGGGAUUCAACAUAAGCUAUAUACCUCGGUUGAUAAGCCUUGUCAGGUUGAGGUUUAUGUGAACGAUCGAACAACUAACACUGAAUUCAGAGAUGAAAAGUAGCGCUCAAAGAGGGGAAAUUAAUUGCUGGGGUUUUAGCGACUUGCAGAUGCGCAUGUAGAGGCCAGCCGGAACACGGUGGCUAGGGUUUCAACCCAGUACAGGAAUUGAUGCCUCUCGAGGCCCGGGGUCUUGGCUCUUAUAGCCAUCACAUCACCACUAAAGCAGUAAAGCAUAAAGAAGGGUGCAAGCUGCAAUGGGAAUUUAAAUUGCGACGCGCGGAUUAGUCUUGGCCGUUCGAUCGCAGAUCAAUGUCGACAGCAUCGUCUUCUCGGCGCGAAACGGCAAGUGUUGAUGGAUGGCGGAUGGACGGCUGAGGAAUGCUGCGAUAACUGAACAGUCCGUCAGAAAACUGAAUAAAACGACACUUGACAUCUUCAGAGUGGAGGGGUGCCAAAUGAGGUGGCAGAUAUCGAUAACCGUGGCUUGAUGCAGGUUCCUCCUGCAGGUCACACCGUUUCUUGCUUCACAACCGCCCCCACUCCAUUCCAAGUUCCCGGCGGCGACUGCGCAUCCCCGGCAGAUCAAUCCAGCACAGAACAGCAUCGAGAGAAUGACGAUGCAACCUCUAAGGAUGGACGCACAAGUUGACCAAGUGCAGCACACCCAGGUGAUACCAGCUACACCUAUAUCUCCUACAGUAGUACAGAUGCAGGCAGUCCUGUGCACGGCCAAGAGGUCGGCAGUUGGUGGCACAGCUGUCUAGGCCGCAUCUGCAGCCUGCAUCAUUAGCAGCAGCAGAGAGCAGUUGUUCCAGGCAGGACGUAUGCUCCCCCAAAUGUUUCCAGGCAGAACUUAAAAACCGCACCAAAGCUAGCAGCUCAUUGUUCUCUGAAGUUUGAGUUGUUUCCUGUGGGGAACAUAAAGUAGCUUGUCGUGGUAACCAAGAUAAUCAUGCGAUAAGUCUCUGCAUGUCUGAAAACAAUGCAACAGAGAACUUGUUUAUGAGCUUUGCAGACUUGUAGCGAUUGGCUGCUCCAGUUUUUUGUAUAUAAAAUAGUUCUCUGUUAUGUCAAGGUUAUGUUUAUUGCUA